AAUUUUGGACAAUGGGGGAAACCCUGAUCCAGCCAUCCCGCGUGUAUGAUGAAGGCCUUCUGGUUGUCCCGUACUUUUGGCAGAGAAGAAAAGGUACCUCCUAAUACGAGGUACUGCUGACGGUAUCUUUAGAAAAAGCACCGGCUAACUACGCUACAGUAGCCGCGGUAAUACGUAGGGUGCAAGCGUUAAUCGGAAUUACUUGGCGUAAAGCGUGUGUAGGCGGUUCGGAAAGAAAGAUGUGAAAUCCCAGGGCUCAACCUUGGAACUGCAUUUUUAACUGCCGAGCUAGAGUAUGUCAGAGGGGGGUAGAAUUCCACGUGUAGCAGUGAAAUGCGUAGAUAUGUGGAGGAAUACCGAUGGCGAAGGCAGCCCCCUGGGAUAAUACUGACGCUCAGACACGAAAGCGUGGGGAGCAAACA
This 422-nucleotide ribosomal RNA is filed under the name uncultured bacterium. RNAcentral's name for it is "partial 16S ribosomal RNA". It matches the Rfam family "Bacterial small subunit ribosomal RNA", at positions 360 to 774 of the family's 1533-position model. The record is from RNAcentral.